GUAACACGUAGUCAACAUGCCCAGGGGACGUGGAUAACCUCGGGAAACUGAGGAUAAACCGCGAUAAGCCAUGAUUUCUGGAAUGAUCCAUGACUAAAACCUAUAUGGCCCCUGGAUUGGACUGCGGCCGAUCAGGCUGUUGGUGAGGUAAUGGCCCACCAAACCUAUUACCGGUACGGGCUCUGAGAGGAGGAGCCCGGAGAUGGGCACUGAGACAAGGGCCCAGGCCCUAUGGGGCGCAGCAGGCGCGAAACCUCUGCAAUAGGCGAAAGCUUGACAGGGUUACUCUGAGUGAUUUCCGCUAAGGGAAUCUUUUGGCACCUCUAAAAAUGGUGCAGAAUAAGGGGUGGGCAAGUCUGGUGUCAGCCGCCGCGGUAAUACCAGCACCCCGAGUGGUCGGGACGAUUAUUGGGCCUAAAGCAUCCGUAGCCGGUCCUGCAAGUCUUCCGUUAAAUCCAGCUGCUUAACAGAUGGGCCGCGGGAGAUACUACAGGGCU
RNAcentral lists this ribosomal RNA (497 nucleotides) under uncultured archaeon. RNAcentral's name for it is "bacterial SSU rRNA". It matches the Rfam family "Archaeal small subunit ribosomal RNA", at positions 93 to 593 of the family's 1478-position model. The record is from RNAcentral.